UACAGAGGUCUCAAGCGUUGUUCGGAUUCAUUGGGCGUAAAGGGUGCGUAGGCGGCGCGGUAAGUCGGGUGUGAAAUCUCCGAGCUUAACUCCGAAACUGCAUUCGAUACUGCCGUGCUUGAGGACUGGAGAGGAGACUGGAAUUUACGGUGUAGCGGUGAAAUGCGUAGAUAUCGUAAGGAAGACCAGUGGCGAAGGCGGGUCUCUGGACAGUUCCUGACGCUGAGGCACGAAGGUCAGGGGAGCAAACGGG
RNAcentral lists this ribosomal RNA (253 nucleotides) under uncultured bacterium. Its description in RNAcentral is "partial 16S ribosomal RNA". It matches the Rfam family "Bacterial small subunit ribosomal RNA", at positions 524 to 776 of the family's 1533-position model. The record is from RNAcentral.